CAAUAGCGUAUAUUUAAGUUGUUGCAGUUAAAAAGCUCGUAGUCGGAUUUUGGCUGAGAACGAUCGGUCCGCCGUUAGGUGUGCACUGAUUGGUCUCAGCUUCCUGGUGAGGAGGUGUGCUUCACGGCCACUUAGUCACCGUGGUUACUUUGAAAAAAUUAGAGUGUUCAAAGCGGGCUUACGCUUGAAUAUAUUAGCAUGGAAUGACACCAUAGGACUCCUGUCCUAUUUCGUUGGUCUCGGGACGGGAGUAAUGAUUAAGAGGAACAGUUGGGGGCAUUCGUAUUUCAUUGUCAGAGGUGAAAUUCUUGGAUUUAUGAAAGACGAACUUCUGCGAAGGCAUUUGCCAAGGAUGUUUUCAUUGA
This 365-nucleotide ribosomal RNA is filed under the name uncultured eukaryote. Its description in RNAcentral is "partial 18S ribosomal RNA". It matches the Rfam family "Eukaryotic small subunit ribosomal RNA", at positions 592 to 976 of the family's 1831-position model. The record is from RNAcentral.